Molecule: non-coding RNA, 2834 nt
Organism: Coturnix japonica (Japanese quail)
Lineage: Eukaryota; Metazoa; Chordata; Aves; Galliformes; Phasianidae
Source: RefSeq, a predicted model, not a curated record
AGAGAUCUUGAUGCAGACGUCCUUUUGGAUUUCUUUUUAAUAAUGUGUGACCCUUCACCUUUGAUCCCCUGACCUGCAUUACUUUGCAGGAGAUCUGAGAGGACCUCACAUGGCUGCUGCUGGCAUCUGCUCAUCGUUGGGGGACACAAAGCACAUCGGAGAACCCUUUUGCUGCUGUUUGUCCCAUGGUAGAGGCUGUAGGAAGCAUCAUGUUGGUGUUUGGAGGAGCACCACAACCACUGCUGCUUCUUGACUCAGGAGUGAGAAUGAAUGAAGUCCGCUCUGUUCAGCAGAGGUUUGCUGCUCAUCACCUCAGCCCCUGGAGUCACUGCUGUGGCUGUGCCGUCCUGCAUGCACUGCUGAGUUGGGAUCACUGCGGCUGCACUGCCGGCCUCACUGGCUGCACCGUGUGUGCAAGAGCUGGAAGCUGGGCCAGUUUGUUUGUUGUUGAGCUGGGUUUUGUGUGUAAACAGCAGUAAACAUCAGUGAGCAAAGCUACUACGUUAGCAGAAUGAGCUUUACCAUUUACCCUAACCUGAAUUCUUUUCUCAGGUUUCCACUCUGCUGUUGGUGGAUGGCAGUAAAUCAUAUCAGCAUUUACCCCUUUAUAUCCUGAGAUUACAGAACCUGAUUCAUUUUCCUGAACGUGGCUUUGCUCCAAGUAGGAAAUAAACCACGUUUUAAUCAAAUACUUGAUCAAAGAACUGCAUAAAUGCUACGGAGCGUUGGUAAAGCCAAAAGCACUGUCAGGAGAGACGUACUUAAAUGUUGGGAGAAUACUCCACUGAAAGAAUUGUUUCUGUUUACGAGGUUUUUCUGCUAUUCAAAACUAAAAUAUUGAUAAUAUCCACUCCUGAAACAACUCUUAAUAUUGAAGUUGAUGCAAUAUUUUCUCUUGCUGGAUGCUUUUAUAUGCUGGCUUUAACGUAAGGCUAAAUGGCUGAAAUGAAAUACUUUGCACAUUUCCUAGAUUUAGAACACCACGUGUCUUGCAUUUCAGGUAAUGCAGCUGGAGUAGAAUUAACCUAAUCUCUUUUAUUCCAUCUAAUAGACGUACUUGUGUAUCAGUCAUGUGGCUGUGCUGUUCAUUUAAUAAAAUAUACAUAGGCAACAGACAGAUUGCUCACUUCAGUCUGGACUGCUUUGAAAAACAGAUGUAUCAGUCAACACAAGCAAACAUUGUUGGUUCUUCCUAUUAAUAAUAAAACCCAUCCAAGCGUGCAGUGGGAAGGAGCACACAGGGUGGAUAAGAAAUGUGUCUGAGGAAACACGUCGGGAUCUCUGUCCACACGGACUGUUGGAUGGGGAGCUGCCUCCUGAUGUGCCUGGGGACAACCUCUGGAUGAGGACACAGCUGUGAGCUCCCCAGCUGUCACUGCUCUGCCUGUAUAUUGCUCUGAAAAGCAAUGAAAUAAUUUAAUUACUGCUAUUGCUUUCAUCUUCAAAUCCUCAAAAUGCAUUAAGGUCUUUGAUCGCUGAAUUGGGAAGCCAAUUCCUAUUGGGCAGCCUUCCACAACUUGGUUCUGUGCUUCUGUUUUCACACUGCUGACAGAAAUAGCAGGUCUAUACUAAUCAGGUGCGGUAUUUUGCUUUCUCUGUGUGCUCGCACUAGGAUUCCUUGCCCUUCCUUUGCUCUUAGCUGCUCGCCUUGGGUGAAGAAAUGUGCACUGAUAAAAAUGUGGCUUUAUUUCUCCCUUAGGUUUGGCUUAUCUGCUUUUCAGCUCUUCCAGACAUUGAAAGUUCCAGUUUGUUUUUGUUUUCUCUGGAUUCCUUCCCAUGAGACAGAAGUGAAUUCAGCAUGGAUUACUGGGAGGGGAGCCUUGGCUGGGGAUGAGGCUAAUUGCAAUCUCUGGCUGUGCCACAGAUUCACUGAUGAUUUCUUUUGACUCAUUCACCUGCGCUGUAUCUGUUUCCUCAGCUGUAAAAUAUGGGUAAUUACCUCCUUUGUGAAAUAUUACGGGGUCUACAGGUAAUUAUAUGAAUGAAGUGCUAAUUACAGUGUUUAUUACUAAGACCUAGUCUAGAUCUGGGAGAUGUUCCUGUUGAUGUUGGCCUGGUUCGUAUCACUGCACAGGCUGCUGUAUGAGAUGUGGAGAUGUCAUGUUUUGGGAUGGAAGACACUAUUCCUUAGCUGAGAUGCUUUGUGUUACGGUGGGUUUGUGGCACACCCACUAAGUUGCACAGUGCAGUUGUUUGGUGCGAUGUCACCAUGAAGAUGACCCGGUGUGUGAUGCAGGGGAUGGUGCUGGCUGUGUCUGUGCUGUGUCACAGGCCUGGGGUCACAGGGCGGUUCCCCUCGGUUUACCUGUGUGUGUUAUUGCAGGUAGAGCUGGGUUUUGGUUUUGUAGAAUCAGAUUUCUGCUUCACAGAGGAAUUCUGGCAAGGCUGCGGGCAUAGGAAGAACUUUGUGUGUCCUGUGGGGUCUGUUCCUCCUGCUGCUACAAAUGGAAAAUAAACAAACAGAGCUCAGACAUGCAGCUGCUGAACUGAGCGCUCCAUGGAAGGAGUAGCAGGAGAUCUGGGGCAAGAGCUGUCUUGUGAAGAAAGCCUCUUAUGCUGGCACAGAAAGGCUGUGGAAGGAGGUCUGUGGGAGGCGUAAUGGAAAGACUCUUUCAAACAUCCGUGUAUUUUUUUUCCCCUCUUUCUGGUAAUUUUAAGAAAUCCCUCCUUCCUGAAAUCGAAUACCUCGGAACAUCAGAACUGCUCAGCUUUGACUGCAGUUAAGCUGCUGCCGUACCGGUCUGACAUUGCCUUUCUGCUAAAUGUAAAACAGUUUUUAAUCUUCUCAUUUAGCUGUUUUAAUAGAAAGUAAAUGUUUAACUUGCUUUGCCGUA